GGAGGAAAGCAGGGGAUCGAAAGACCUUAUGCUUUUGGAGCGGCCGAUGUCUGAUUAGCUAGUUGGUGAGGUAAGGGCUUACCAAGGCAACGAUCAGUAGUUGGUCUGAGAGGACGACCAGCCACACUGGGACUGAGACACGGCCCAGACUCCUACGGGAGGCAGCAGUGGGGAAUUUUGGACAAUGGGCGCAAGCCUGAUCCAGCAAUGCCGCGUGAGUGAAGAAGGCUUUCGGGUUGUAAAGCUCUUUUAGUUGAAAAGAAAAAAUCAUAACUAAUAAUUAUGAUUCAUGACGGUAUCAACAGAAAAAGCACCGGCUAACUACGUGCCAGCAGCCGCGGUAAUACGUAGGGUGCAAGCGUUAAUCGGAAUUAUUGGGCGUAAAGGGUGCGCAGGCGGUUCUGUAAGUCAGAUGUGAAAUCCCCGGGCUUAACCUGGGAAUUGCGUUUGAAACUACAAAGCUAG
RNAcentral lists this ribosomal RNA (465 nucleotides) under uncultured ammonia-oxidizing beta proteobacterium. RNAcentral's name for it is "bacterial SSU rRNA". It matches the Rfam family "Bacterial small subunit ribosomal RNA", at positions 198 to 644 of the family's 1533-position model. The record is from RNAcentral. Lineage: Bacteria; Pseudomonadati; Pseudomonadota; Betaproteobacteria.